This 408-nucleotide ribosomal RNA is filed under the name uncultured bacterium. Its description in RNAcentral is "bacterial SSU rRNA". It matches the Rfam family "Bacterial small subunit ribosomal RNA", at positions 8 to 418 of the family's 1533-position model. The record is from RNAcentral.
AGAGUUUGAUCCUGGCUCAGAUUGAACGCUGGCGGAAUGCUUUACACAUGCAAGUCGAGCGGCAGCGCGGUCUUCGGACUGGCGGCGAGCGGCGAACGGGUGAGUAAUACAUCGGAACAUGCCCAGUCGUGGGGGAUAACACUUCGAAAGAAGUGCUAAUACCGCAUACGUCCUGAGGGAGAAAGCGGGGGAUCGCAAGACCUCGCGCGAUUGGAGUGGCCGAUGUCAGAUUAGCUAGUUGGUGGGGUAAAGGCCUACCAAGGCAACGAUCUGUAGCUGGUCUGAGAGGAUGAUCAGCCACACUGGGACUGAGACACGGCCCAGACUCCUACGGGAGGCAGCAGUGGGGAAUUUUGGACAAUGGGGGCAACCCUGAUCCAGCCAUUCCGCGUGAGUGAAGAAGGCCUU